GGCCUAUAUUUUUGCACCCAUUCAAAGAUUACUUAUGCUACAAAAUUUCUUGAUGUAUAAUAGUGAUAAUUUGGGUAAUUAUUAAAGCUAUGCCUAAAUUUGAGAUUAUGAUUCCAAGGGGGGACAUCGUUGGAUUAACAAGUUCCCUUUAUAACAGACCAGAUGAACUGUCUCCCACUCCAUGCCUGGUUUAACUGGUUAAAGAUGGGUAUCAUGUCACCUUGCUUACCAAAUAUUGCACUUGAACUUGAUCUAUUCUUUUCUUUUCAUUCUUUUGGUUUUUAUUUAAAAAAAGCUGGUGGGCAGUUUUUCUCUUGCUUAUUAUGAAUAUGGAGAUUAGAAAAGGAUGUCCACUCUCUCUUAUAGUUCAAUGAUAAUGUAUGUGGUAGUUUCUUUGUUUUCUUGUUUGUUGAAUAGGGAAAUAAAAAGAAAGCAAAAAGCAGGUACAAGACACCAUUGGAGGGGUUUCAAAGAGGUAUAAUGGUGCCAGAAUAUGAUUCAUCAGCAAGAAUCCGGAUCUUUGCUUAACUAGAAAAGUUGAUGUGGAGAGUUUGGG
Molecule: long non-coding RNA, 556 nt
Filed under: Durio zibethinus
Lineage: Eukaryota; Viridiplantae; Streptophyta; Magnoliopsida; Malvales; Malvaceae
Description: long non-coding RNA (DZIB_LNC002195)
Source: RNAcentral